Long non-coding RNA from Tyto alba (common barn owl), 666 nucleotides. RefSeq lists it as uncharacterized. The transcript has 2 exons. The record is from RefSeq and is a predicted model, not a curated record. NCBI's taxonomy places the organism in Eukaryota, Metazoa, Chordata, Aves, Strigiformes, Tytonidae.
CCGCAGGGCGCGCGGCGCCCUCCCCAGAGCAGCGAGCGUUGCUGCGCAUGCGCGGGGCAGAGCGGCCGGGACACUGAGGGGAAGGAGCGAGCGCCGGGCUGACGGGCGGCUGGUUGGCGUGACGGUUCAACAUGGCUCUUCCAUUCCCAACUGUUUGACCACCUCUUCUUCAGGGGGCGAAGAGGGAUGAGGAAUGAGGGUUGCCAUCACUCCAUAACACUUUGUCUUUGCCGCUGUUCCCCUGCUCCUACGUGGCGUCCCACCAAAUUGAUACAGCCCUUCCCAGGCUGCUUCAUCCUUGGUUUUGCCCAGGGGCUGCCAUUUCUGCCAGAAAAUGGUGGAAUCCCCUCCAGAGGCAGCACCGUCCUUCAGGGCAUCUCCACUUACCGCAGUGUGGGGUCCUCCAUGGAUGCAGUGUGGAUAUCUGCCUUGGCAUGGUUCUCUGUGGCUCAUGGGAGGACAACCUGCUUCACCGUGGUCUUCUUCAUGGUCUGUGGUAGUUAGGGUCCGGCGACCAGAAGAUAUCGCGUUGUACGGAAAGGUAGAGCCUCCCUCCCUAUAACCAAGAGACAUGGACCCUUAACGUGAGCAGGUGGAAGUGACGAAGUAGACUCAGACUAUAUAAGGCAAUGUAAACUAACAAUAAACGCCAUUUUGCCUCCACCA